RNAcentral lists this long non-coding RNA (471 nucleotides) under Solanum tuberosum (potato). Its description in RNAcentral is "long non-coding RNA (STUB_LNC011068)". The record is from RNAcentral. Lineage: Eukaryota; Viridiplantae; Streptophyta; Magnoliopsida; Solanales; Solanaceae.
AUAUAGGUGACCUCCCAUAGAAAUUUGACCGCACUGUACAAGUAGUCUUCAUUUCAGAGAGAGUUUUUAAAUCUGCUUGCAUAUUCUUUGAGGGAAAAUUAUGACUAUAUGGAUAUUCAACCUUCGAUUCAACUUGCCUGUUUGUGAUUUAUCUUUAUAAUUGUCGAUACAUAAAUAUCAAGCACAAGUUAUAAUUAAUUAUAACAUCCUUCGGGGAAUGCUUGCAGGUAGUGAAGGUGAAUGAAGGGAUGAAAACAAUGAAGGCACGCCUUAGGAGCGAGGAUUAUGUUGAUAUCUUUGACACUUAGCAAGUGUUCUAGAAAUAUUUUGUUUUUUGGACAUUAAAACUUGUGUCUAACCUCAUGAAUAUUCAAGUUUUUUUUGUAUAUUUUGCUUUAAUGAAUAUUAUUACUUGUCCUGGGAUCUUGGAUUGUAUUUGAUUAUGAAUACUUACUUCUCGUGUUUGAUAUA